GAUGAACGCUGGCGGCAUGCCUUACACAUGCAAGUCGAACGGCAGCACGGGAGCAAUCCUGGUGGCGAGUGGCGAACGGGUGAGUAAUAUAUCGGAACGUGCCCAGUCGUGGGGAUAACGUAGCGAAAGCUACGCUAAUACCGCAUACGAUCUAUGGAUGAAAGCGGGGGAUCGCAAGACCUCGCGCGAUUGGAGCGGCCGAUAUCAGAUUAGGUAGUUGGUGAGGUAAAGGCUCACCAAGGCGACGAUCCUUAGCUGGUCUGAGAGGAUGAUCAGUCACACUGGAACUGAGACACGGCCCAGACUCCUACGGGAGGCAGCAGUGGGGAAUAUUGGACAAUGGGCGAAAGCCUGAUCCAGCAAUGCCGCGUGAGUGAUGAAGGCCUUAGGGUUGUAAAGCUCUUUUACCCGGGAUUGAUAAUGACAGUACCGGGAGAAUAAGCUCCGGCUAACUCCGUGCCAGCAG
Molecule: ribosomal RNA, 466 nt
Filed under: uncultured bacterium
Lineage: Bacteria
Description: bacterial SSU rRNA
Rfam family: Bacterial small subunit ribosomal RNA
Source: RNAcentral